This 1399-nucleotide ribosomal RNA is filed under the name Helicoverpa assulta. RNAcentral's name for it is "16S ribosomal RNA". The stretch from base 1087 to 1246 matches the Rfam family "Eukaryotic large subunit ribosomal RNA", at positions 2825 to 2984 of the family's 3401-position model. The record is from RNAcentral. Lineage: Eukaryota; Metazoa; Arthropoda; Insecta; Lepidoptera; Noctuidae.
GGGGGAAAAAUUAAUAAUUUAUAAAUAAUAAAAAAAUUUUUAAAUAAGAAUAAUUUAAAGGGGGGUUAAAGUAUUUUUAUUGAAAAAAUUAAUUAUUUUAUAGUGUAAUAGUAUUGUGAAAGAAUUUUGAAAUAAUUGAAAAUUUAAAUUAUUUAAAAGUAAUUUUAAUUUAAUGUAUCUUGUGUAUCACAGUUUAUUAAAAAUUUUUAUUAUAUAUUAAAUUCUCGAAUUUAAUAGAGAUAAUUAAUUAAUAAAUUUAUUGUAGCAAAAAUAUUUUAAAUAAUUAAUUGGAAAUGAAAUGUUAAUCGUUUUUACAUAUAUCUAGAUUUUUUAGAAAAAAAUUUAAUUUUAUAUUAUCUUAUAAAAUUUUUAAUUAAUUAAAAAUUUUAUAAGAUAAUUUUAUAUUUUAGGGGAUAAGCUUUAAAUUAAAUUUAUAUAAAUUUUAUUAUUUAAAAAUUGAAAAUUAUAUGAUUUAUAUUGUUAAUAAAUUUUAGUUUAUUAUAAAUAAUUUCAUUGAUAAAUAAAAUUUAAAAUAAAUUUUAUAUUUUUAUAAAAAAAAAAUUAAAAAUAAAAUUUGAUUUAAUAUAAUGAUAAAAUUAGUAUACAUAUAUAAUAUAAUGUUUAAUUUAUAUUUUUAUUUAAAAAAUAAUUAAAAGGAAUUCGGCAAAAAUUUAUAUUCACUUGUUUAUCAAAAACAUGUCUUUUUGUAAAUAAUAUAAAGUCUAAUCUGCCCACUGAUUUAAUUAUUAAAGGGCUGCAGUAUUUUGACUGUACAAAGGUAGCAUAAUCAUUAGUCAUUUAAUUGAUGACUUGUAUGAAAGAUUGGAUGAAAUAUAUACUGUCUCUUAUUUAUAAUAUAAAAUUUAAUUUUUUAGUUAAAAAGCUAAAAUUAAUUAAAAAGACGAGAAGACCCUAUAGAGUUUUAUAAAUUAUAAUUAUUAAGAUUAUUUAUAAAAUUAAUAAUUAAAAUAAUUUAAUUUAAUUUGUUGGGGUGACAAAAAAAUAAAAAUAACUUUUUUUUUAUAAAACAUAAAUAAGUGAAUAAUUGAUCCAAUAUUAUUGAUUAUAAGAAAAAAUUACCUUAGGGAUAACAGCGUAAUUUUUUUUUUUAGUUCAUAUAAAAAAAAGAGUUUGCGACCUCGAUGUUGGAUUAAGAUAAAAUUUAAAUGCAGAAGUUUAAAAUUUUUGAUCUGUUCGAUCAUUAAAAUCUUACAUGAUCUGAGUUCAAACCGGUGUGAGCCAGGUUGGUUUCUAUCUUUUAAAAUAUAAAAUAUUUUAGUACGAAAGGAUUAAAUAUUUAAAUUAAAUUUAUAUAAUGAAUGAAUUUUAUUAAAUUUUAUUUAAAAAUAUAAUUAAAAUAAAUAAAUAUAUAUAUAUAUAUAUAUAUAUCUAAUUUUUA